RNAcentral lists this ribosomal RNA (810 nucleotides) under Ruegeria atlantica. RNAcentral's name for it is "bacterial SSU rRNA". It matches the Rfam family "Bacterial small subunit ribosomal RNA", at positions 94 to 943 of the family's 1533-position model. Lineage: Bacteria; Pseudomonadati; Pseudomonadota; Alphaproteobacteria; Rhodobacterales; Roseobacteraceae. The record is from RNAcentral.
AGCGGCGGACGGGUUAGUAACGCGUGGGAACMUMCCCUUUGGUACGGAAUAGCCUCUGGAAACGGAGAGUAAUACCGUAUGAGCCCUUCGGGGGAAAGAUUUAUCGCCAAAGGAUUGGCCCGCGUUAGAUUAGGUAGUUGGUGGGGUAAUGGCCUACCAAGCCUACGAUCUAUAGCUGGUUUUAGAGGAUGAUCAGCAACACUGGGACUGAGACACGGCCCAGACUCCUACGGGAGGCAGCAGUGGGGAAUCUUGGACAAUGGGGGCAACCCUGAUCCAGCCAUGCCGCGUGAGUGAUGAAGGCCUUAGGGUCGUAAAGCUCUUUCGCCUGUGAAGAUAAUGACGGUAGCAGGUAAAGAAACCCCGGCUAACUCCGUGCCAGCAGCCGCGGUAAUACGGAGGGGGUUAGCGUUGUUCGGAAUUACUGGGCGUAAAGCGCACGUAGGCGGACUGGAAAGUUGGGGGUGAAAUCCCAGGGCUCAACCCUGGAACUGCCUCCAAAACUAUCAGUCUAGAGUUCGAGAGAGGUGAGUGGAAUUCCGAGUGUAGAGGUGAAAUUCGUAGAUAUUCGGAGGAACACCAGUGGCGAAGGCGGCUCACUGGCUCGAUACUGACGCUGAGGUGCGAAAGUGUGGGGAGCAAACAGGAUUAGAUACCCUGGUAGUCCACACCGUAAACGAUGAAUGCCAGUCGUCGGGUAGCAUGCUAUUCGGUGACACACCUAACGGAUUAAGCAUUCCGCCUGGGGAGUACGGUCGCAAGAUUAAACUCAAAGAAUUGACGGGGGCCCGCACAAGCGUGGAGCAUGUG